GGCACUGUGGCUCAAGUGGUAGAGCGUUAGCCUUGAGCUAAAUUGCUGGGUGACAGUGCCC
Molecule: transfer RNA, 61 nt
Filed under: Dipodomys ordii (Ord's kangaroo rat)
Lineage: Eukaryota; Metazoa; Chordata; Mammalia; Rodentia; Heteromyidae
Source: Rfam by way of RNAcentral